ACCCAGAUGACGAGUCCCAAAUAGAACAAAACGUUCGUCUUGGAU
This is a non-coding RNA of Schistosoma haematobium, 45 nucleotides long. The record is from Rfam. NCBI's taxonomy places the organism in Eukaryota, Metazoa, Platyhelminthes, Trematoda, Strigeidida, Schistosomatidae.